Camelina sativa (false flax) is the source of this 744-nucleotide long non-coding RNA. RefSeq lists it as uncharacterized. The record is from RefSeq and is a predicted model, not a curated record. NCBI's taxonomy places the organism in Eukaryota, Viridiplantae, Streptophyta, Magnoliopsida, Brassicales, Brassicaceae.
AAUGAAGAAAGAAGCUAAGCUUUCGGUUCUUGAUUCAAACUCCAACGAUAUUGUCCCUCGCGUUUUACCUCAUCUUGAUCAAUGGAUAUUGUCCAUACGGGGAGACGGUUCUCUACUGGUAAGGAACACACCCAAGGUUAUGCAUCUCAGAUCAUGAGCUAGCAAAACAGAUCUUAUCGAACAAGUUUGGUUUCUUUGCUAAAUUAAAGACAAAACCUGAGAUCCGUAAACUUGCUGGUAAUGGACUCAUCUUCGUAAAUGAUCUUGUUUGGGUUCGUCAUAGACGAAUCUUAAACCCUGCAUUCUCUAUGGACAAAAAUCAAGAUCAUGAACCAACUGAUGGUGGACUGCACUUUUAGGAUGUUCGGGAGGAGUGGAAAAAACAGAGGAACGUUGGCGAAUCCGAGCAAGUGAUGAUGAUGAACAGAGAGUAUAAGAGAUUGACGGCUGAUAUUAUAGCCACCGCGGCGUUUGGAAGCAGUUAUGCGGAAGGAAUUGAAGUGUUUAGAUCACAAAAGAAGCUCCAAAAGUGUUGUGCUGCUUCUCUUACUGACGUCUAUAUCCCUGGAGUCCAGUACUUUCCUACGCCUUUGAAUCUUCGAAUAUGGAAACUUGGUAGGAAAGUGAAUAACUCGAUCAAAAGAGUCAUAGUGAUAUGAUUGUACAAUGCCACGUCACGAGGAUUCAAGUAUUUUGAUAACGUGGUUUGUAUCAAUGAGAAAGGGAAAGACUGGGGAAGAAACA